Long non-coding RNA from Pogoniulus pusillus (Red-fronted tinkerbird), 404 nucleotides. RefSeq lists it as uncharacterized. The record is from RefSeq and is a predicted model, not a curated record. The transcript has 4 exons. Lineage: Eukaryota; Metazoa; Chordata; Aves; Piciformes; Lybiidae.
GGCAGAGGGAUCCUCCUCCUGUCACUGCAGGGUGCAGCUCUGAGAUACAGAAGACAAUUUUGUCCUUUCAUUGUGUCCUCCUUCUCCUCAUUCUGGGAAUCAGUCUGUUUCAAGUGACAAAGGAAGACAGCAAGGAGGCGAACCCAAUUUGUUAGUACAGACGAAAACAAUCUUUUCAAGCUGCAGUAGCUGUAACCUGGUGAUGAUUUGUUACGUUUGCUGUUUUAAAGAGCACCAUACUCCAGAUGGCAGCAGCUAAAUUGCAAGGGAGCACACUGUACACACCAUCAAGCCAAGAUCCUGUACUAAACAGCUGCUACUAGCUAUUGCUACCAGAUGUUCUAGAAUUAUGUGCAACAUUAUGCUCAAUUUUAACUUUUACAAAAUUACAAGCUAAUAAAAGA